RNAcentral lists this long non-coding RNA (1698 nucleotides) under Chrysolophus pictus (golden pheasant). Its description in RNAcentral is "lncRNA (ENSCPIG00010010766.1)". The record is from RNAcentral. Lineage: Eukaryota; Metazoa; Chordata; Aves; Galliformes; Phasianidae.
GAGCCGGGACCGUUUCGGCUCCGAAGCACGCGGCCCCCUCCCGCCUCGUCGUGGCUUUUCCAAACCCUCCGAGGAGAGCGGGAUCGUUCGGUCCUUCCUGUAUUUCCGACCAUUACAGGAUCUAGAGAUGUCUACGACGCUGUUAUCUGCCUUCUACGACAUCGACUUCUUGUGCAAGAGAGACCUUGGAAGAAGGGGGAUUUGUGUUUCGGAGUUGUCCUUCUCGUUCUCCGGAGACGAGUUCUGAUCCGCACCAGCAGCACCAUUCCAUCCGGGAACGCGGCCGGACCCACCGCGAGCUUCUCCAGCGCGAAAUCCAACAUCCUGCCAAGAAUAUGCCUUGAUAACAACCUUCUAUUUUUUUUAUAUAUCUAUAUAUUAUUAUUAUAACAAAUGCUAAAACCUUCAUUCCAAAGUUUAAUAUUGGUUCCAUUGCCACCACUUAGUGGAUGUUUGGCUUAGAACAACUUUUCUUUUUCGUUGUUGCUUUAUUUGGAAGCACUCGACCGAGUUUAGUUUGUAAUUGUUGGAGAAUAACUGCUGAUUUUUUUUUUAAUUUUUUUUAGCUGUUUUGAGUUGAUUGCAUGAAUGAGUCACUGCACACAACUCAAUAUGAAACUAUUUAACUUAUUUAUUAUCUUGUGAAAAGUAUGCAUUGGUAAUUUGUUCAUACUGUAUUUAUCGGGUAUGAUGAAAAGCAAUAGAUAUAUAUUCUUUUAUUAUGUUUAAAUUAUGAUUGCCAUUAUUAAUCGGCGAAAUGUGGAGUGUGUUCUUUUCACAGUAAUAUAUGCCUUUUUGUAACUUCACUUGGUUAUUUUAUUGUAAAUGAGUAAAAUUCUUAAUUUAAGAGAUUGUAUGUAAUAUUUAUUUCAUUAAUUUCUUUCCUUGUUUACGUAAAUCUGAAAGAUUGCAUGGUUUCUGUAUAGAAAUCGGUCUCGAUGCUGUGGAAGUAGUUUGAGGAAUUUCUAUGGGAUUUUUUUAGAAUGUAAAUGGUUGUAGCCCGUCCGAGUAGAAGAAAACCAACAACAAGAGACUGACUUUUGGCAAUCAGACUUCAAAGUGGCGAACCUGACGCAGCCUCGUUCCAAGUAUAACCAAAAAGUGUUCCUCGUUGCCUAACUCCACCACUCACACUGUGAUGUAGUCUCAACGGAUGUAGCAAUAAUUGGGGUGCCCAGUAUUAUGCCUCACAGUGCCUUUUGGAGGGUCCACGCUUGCCUUAAAUACUUCUCAACCAAAUGAGUAUUUCUCUUAAUGCUUGAGGUGAUAAUUUGAAUGUAGGGAUGGGUUUUGACUACAGCAAAAUUUCACCACUCUUUAUUUUGUAAGAAUGGCGGCCAUCUUUGGAUCUGAAACUUUAUACAUGAGCAUAUCUUGUUUAAUUGAAUUCCAAAACUUGUAAUAUUUUUUUUUCUUAUGUAGAAAGUCGGGAGUUUUCCAAAACUUUCCUGGACGGUGGAUGAAUGAGCGGUAGCUUAGUUUUGUUUGUACAUAGGUACAGAUUGAGCACUAUGUACUCUUUUGGACUACUUUAACAGAAGUAUGUUUUGAAUGUAACUAAAGGAUAAGUCAACUUGAGUUGUAAUAUAUUUUUCGGGAGUCAGUUCACUACAAAUUGUGUGAGACUGUAAACUUUGUACUGUAAAUGUUUUGUAGUUCUCCCAAUAAAAUUUUUUUGGAAAAAAAAAAAAAGAAGCA